Molecule: ribosomal RNA, 726 nt
Filed under: Campylobacter sp.
Lineage: Bacteria; Pseudomonadati; Campylobacterota; Epsilonproteobacteria; Campylobacterales; Campylobacteraceae
Description: bacterial SSU rRNA
Rfam family: Bacterial small subunit ribosomal RNA
Source: RNAcentral
AUAGUCUAGAGUGAGGGAGAGGCAGAUGGAAUUGGUGGUGUAGGGGUAAAAUCCGUAGAUAUCACCAAGAAUACCCAUUGCGAAGGCGAUCUGCUGGAACUCAACUGACGCUAAGGCGCGAAAGCGUGGGGAGCAAACAGGAUUAGAUACCCUGGUAGUCCACGCCCUAAACGAUGUACACUAGUUGUUGGGGUGCUAGUCAUCUCAGUAAUGCAGCUAACGCAUUAAGUGUACCGCCUGGGGAGUACGGUCGCAAGAUUAAAACUCAAAGGAAUAGACGGGGACCCGCACAAGCGGUGGAGCAUGUGGUUUAAUUCGAAGAUACGCGAAGAACCUUACCUGGGCUUGAUAUCCUAAGAACCUUUUAGAGAUAAGAGGGUGCUAGCUUGCUAGAACUUAGAGACAGGUGCUGCACGGCUGUCGUCAGCUCGUGUCGUGAGAUGUUGGGUUAAGUCCCGCAACGAGCGCAACCCACGUAUUUAGUUGCUAACGGUUCGGCCGAGCACUCUAAAUAGACUGCCUUCGUAAGGAGGAGGAAGGUGUGGACGACGUCAAGUCAUCAUGGCCCUUAUGCCCAGGGCGACACACGUGCUACAAUGGCAUAUACAAUGAGACGCAAUACCGCGAGGUGGAGCAAAUCUAUAAAAUAUGUCCCAGUUCGGAUUGUUCUCUGCAACUCGAGAGCAUGAAGCCGGAAUCGCUAGUAAUCGUAGAUCAGCCAUGCUA